UGGGGAAUUUUGGACAAUGGGGGCAACCCUGAUCCAGCAAUGCCGCGUGUGUGAAGAAGGCCUUCGGGUUGUAAAGCACUUUUGUCCGGAAAGAAAACGUCGUGGUUAAUACCCGUGGCGGCUGACGGUACCGGAAGAAUAAGCACCGGCUAACUACGUGCCAGCAGCCGCGGUAAUACGUAGGGUGCAAGCGUUAAUCGGAAUUACUGGGCGUAAAGCGUGCGCAGGCGGUCCGCUAAGACAGAUGUGAAAUCCCCGGGCUUAACCUGGGAACUGCAUUUGUGACUGGCGGGCUAGAGUAUGGCAGAGGGGGGUAGAAUUCCACGUGUAGCAGUGAAAUGCGUAGAGAUGUGGAGGAAUACCGAUGGCGAAGGCAGCCCCCUGGGCCAAUACUGACGCUCAUGCACGAAAAGCGUGGGGAGCAAAACAGGAUUAGAUACCCUGGUAGUCCACGCCCUAAACGAUGUCAACUAGUUGUCGGGUCUUCAUUGACUUGGUAACGUAGCUAACGCGUGAGGUUGACCGCCUGGGGAGUACGGUCGC
This 543-nucleotide ribosomal RNA is filed under the name uncultured bacterium. RNAcentral's name for it is "partial 16S ribosomal RNA". It matches the Rfam family "Bacterial small subunit ribosomal RNA", at positions 355 to 889 of the family's 1533-position model. The record is from RNAcentral.